RNAcentral lists this ribosomal RNA (254 nucleotides) under uncultured bacterium. Its description in RNAcentral is "partial 16S ribosomal RNA". It matches the Rfam family "Bacterial small subunit ribosomal RNA", at positions 524 to 776 of the family's 1533-position model. The record is from RNAcentral.
UACGUAGGGUGCGAGCGUUUAAUCGGAAUUACUGGGCGUAAAGCGUGCGCAGGCGGUUCGUUGUGUCGGUGGUGAAAGCCCCGGGCUUAACCUGGGAAUGGCCGUCGAAACUGGCGAACUGGAGUGUGGCAGAGGGGGGUGGAAUUCCGCGUGUAGCGGUGAAAUGCGUAGAGAUGUGGAGGAACACCAGUGGCGAAGGCGACUUUCUGGUCUGUAACUGACACUGAGGCGCGAAAGCGUGGGGAGCGAACAGG